GGCCGACAGCGCCCGGCUCCAGGAAAAGGCCGCCAGGCUGGACUCCAGGGUCGCCGAACUCGCCGCGUCCCUCAGUCAGCGGGCACAGGAGUUGGGCGAUCUUUCUGCCGAAAACAAAAAGCUAAAAGAGUGCCAAGAUCGCGACAAGCUGACAAUAAUGCGACUGUCGUCGGAGAAGGAACAGCUGCAGUACAAACUCCGCAACAUAUCCGACGUCUGGAAGGCGGCAGGCGUUCGGACUCGUUCGAACAGCUCCCGGUCCUGCCCCGGCCCGCCGCCGCUGGUCCGAGCCGGCAGCGAGUCGCCGC
Long non-coding RNA from Pollicipes pollicipes, 308 nucleotides. RefSeq lists it as uncharacterized. Lineage: Eukaryota; Metazoa; Arthropoda; Thecostraca; Pollicipedomorpha; Pollicipedidae. The transcript has 3 exons. The record is from RefSeq and is a predicted model, not a curated record.